This 800-nucleotide ribosomal RNA is filed under the name uncultured bacterium. RNAcentral's name for it is "bacterial SSU rRNA". It matches the Rfam family "Bacterial small subunit ribosomal RNA", at positions 8 to 786 of the family's 1533-position model. The record is from RNAcentral.
AGAGUUUGAUCCUGGCUCAGAAUGGACGCUGGCGGCGUGCUUAACACAUGCAAGUCGUGCGCGAAAGCGGCUUCGGCCGCGUGUAGAGCGGCGAACGGGUGAGUAACACGUGGACAACCUGCCCAAGAGUUGGGGAUAACCUGGGGAAACCCGGGCUAAUACCGAAUACGUUCGUGGGGUCUCGGCCCUGCGCAGAAAGGUGGCCUAUGCUUGCAAGCCACCGCUCCUGGAGGGGUCCGCGUCUGAUUAGCUAGUUGGCGGGGUAAUGGCCCACCAAGGCGACGAUCAGUAGCCGGCCUGAGAGGGUGAUCGGCCACACUGGAACUGAGACACGGUCCAGACUCCUACGGGAGGCAGCAGUGGGGAAUAUUGGACAAUGGGGGAAACCCUGAUCCAGCAACGCCGCGUGGAGGAUGAAGGUCUUCGGAUUGUAAACUCCUGUUAGGGGGGACGAAGGGAUGUCGGCGAACAGUCGGCAAACUUGACGGUACCCCCAGAGGAAGCCCCGGCUAACUCUGUGCCAGCAGCCGCGGUAAUACAGAGGGGGCAAGCGUUAUUCGGAAUUAUUGGGCGUAAAGGGCGCGUAGGCGGCCUUGUAAGUCUUGGGUGAAAUCCCUCAGCUCAACUGAGGAACUGCCUCGGAUACUGCAAGGCUUGAGGCCGGGAGAGGGUAGUGGAAUUCCCAGUGUAGCGGUGAAAUGCGUAGAUAUUGGGAGGAACACCGGUGGCGAAGGCGGCUACCUGGACCGGUUCUGACGCUGAUGCGCAAAAGCGUGGGGUAGCAAACAGGAUUAGAUACC